GUUUAACCCAACCUUCUGGGUAGUAACCCAACCGCUGGGUCAAAACAAUCCAGUUGCUGGGUUUGUCCAAUUUUACCCAGCACUGGGUUGCAUUUAACCCAGCAUUUUUUAGAGUAUAUACAAUAGCAAUUAAUGAAACGGAAGUCUUGUACAUUCACAGAAAAGAUUGCGUUGCAAAAAAAAGGUGGGUAUGACUUUCUGUUAUUUGAAUUCUUUGACUCUCAUUACUGACUAAUGCAUGAAAGGACCCAAAACAUGCACAUGAGGUGUAACACACUUGUAUCUCUGCCCAACUUAAACUGCCAAAGGAUGACAUCUCCAAGACUCUACAGAACAUCCUACACUAUGAUGAGAAACAUGGACAUAAUGAGGACUCAAUGGAUGAAGAAACUUUCAUCAGAGUUCACUUAGAUGUCACUCAGUGCCUGAACUAUGCUAUUUUUGAUGCUAAAAAAGUUGGUCUGACUUUGAUGCAUGCAGUACAAAUACUCUGUAGUGGAGAGCUGCAUGGUUUUGUUCAGAAGUAUGUGGAUGCUAAGAACAAACGUCUAUAAAAAACAAACGUUUACAGAGACAAACUCUGUGUAUCUGUUUCGGAUAAUCAACACCUGCAUGCAACUCAGGCCAAUUUAGAAGGUUAUUUUGAGAAAAGAGAUGGGCAUAUUGAUAUCCUGAUGGAGGCAAUCCAAAGGCAGUGUGCAUCUCUGCCUGAGACUGCUUCAGAGAUCAAAACGGUCAUUGUGAAAAUAGCUUACGACAGUGUUUCCAAAGUGUACCUGGAAUGCUUGAUGAAGACAAAUGUCAGAAAGCUAGAGAUGCUUUGGGGAAAUGCUGAGGAAAAGAUAAAAGAGGAUGUUCAACAUUUUCACCAAAUAUUCUCUGACCUGAAUGGCAUUGCUGCCCAGGAGAGCUCCUUCAGAGAAUGAGUGUUUUGCUUUACAGUCAUGUAAAAACGAAGGACGUUACCAAUGCUUUGUUCAAAGACUUCCCUCAGGAGAGUGAGCAGUAUGUACCUGGUCUGCUGCGCUGGAAGGGUGUGUUAUCAGAGCAACAGGUGAAGGAAGUGCUGGAUGAGAUUCGGGAACCCUGCCAAAAUCCAGAUCCUACACAUGUCACCUGUUUUCUUCUGAAGGGACUUUUUUGUUGUAAAUAGCUUGAGGUCAGAGGUCAGUAAAAGUAAGCUAUGGAGAAUGUUCUCUGAACAUUGUGCUAUUUAUAUUUUCAAGC
This is a long non-coding RNA of Cyprinus carpio carpio, 1227 nucleotides long. NCBI's taxonomy places the organism in Eukaryota, Metazoa, Chordata, Actinopteri, Cypriniformes, Cyprinidae. The record is from Ensembl.